RNAcentral lists this ribosomal RNA (402 nucleotides) under bacterium. Its description in RNAcentral is "partial 16S ribosomal RNA". It matches the Rfam family "Bacterial small subunit ribosomal RNA", at positions 355 to 776 of the family's 1533-position model. The record is from RNAcentral.
UGGGGAAUUUUGCACAAUGGGGGAAACCCUGAUGCAGCGACGCCGCGUGAUUUAGAAGGCCUUCGGGUUGUAAAAAUCUUUUCUAUGGGAAGAAAAUGACAGUACCAUAGGAAUAAGGACCGGCUAAUUACGUGCCAGCAGCCGCGGUAAUACGUAAGGUCCGAGCGUUGUCCGGAAUCAUUGGGCGUAAAGGGUACGUAGGCGGGUAAGCAAGUUAGAAGUGAAAUCCUAUAGCUCAACUAUAGUAAGCUUUUAAAACUGCUCAUCUUGAGGUAUGGAAGGGAAAGUGGAAUUCCUAGUGUAGCGGAGAAAUGCGCAGAUAUUAGGAGGAAUACCGGUGGCGAAGGCGACUUUCUGGCCAUAACCUGACGCUGAGGUACGAAAGCGUGGGUAGCAAACAGG